Molecule: long non-coding RNA, 1763 nt
Filed under: Pelobates cultripes (western spadefoot toad)
Lineage: Eukaryota; Metazoa; Chordata; Amphibia; Anura; Pelobatidae
Source: RNAcentral
GGGCAGUAUAGUGCCAGGAAAACGAGUAUGUUUUCCUGGCACUAUAGUGGUCCUUUAAGAUAAUGGUUGCUAGGUAAGUGAUACUGAUUACCAAGGACUAAUCUUUUUGAGUUGCUCUUUCCAAUAACUUAUCACAUUAACCUUAGCAGCAUGUCAAACCCUUGUUUACUUAUAUUUGGUGAUUUUGACAAAAAACUUUGUGUGCACCCACGCACUAAAUGUACAAUGAUGACUACAUCGACUACUCAUGACUACUUGAGAACAAGGAGCUGCCUCUGUCCUUUGAAAAAACAACAAAAGAUUUCACAGUUUAGAAAGAAAACUAAUAGAGAAAAACAGUAUGACACUGAUACAUUUUGAUUUAAUCAUGCAUGUGGCCUUGUACACCUUAUGGCAGCAUCACAUUUAGGAGAUGCACAAAGCUUUAUGGUGAAUCCUGAGCUUUAUUGUUCUGACAGACGUGUCUGGAAUCAAAUGGUCUAAUAGUCCAUUAGGGAUUCUCAAUCCCCUAUAUAAGAACUAGCUACUUAAUAGCUCUUGAGUUAUUACGAUGGAUUAUUCUGUCAUUCUCAACUAUUUUGCACACCCUGGACAACUUCUCAUAGUCCUUUCAGAAUGACUCUCUUAACUGCUUAUUUUGGAUUUCCAGAUACAUCCUAUAUAUCAGAGAGGCCAGAAUAGGAGCACUGCUAUUUCUGAUGAUGUUGCUGCUCUGGUUGUGUGUUUAACUUGUUGCUGGGACAAAAACAGUGCAUAUGGUAUGAGGUUGGUGCAGUUGGUGCAUGGGCUGGCAGAGAGGAGGUGGAACCACAUAAUCUUUGUUUACAUCAUUGCAUUCCAGUUUUUAUGGCACACAUAAUGUAUUUAAAUAAGAAAGCAUUGUGUAUAGUAAAGGGAUAAUGUUUUAUUGCCCAGCCUGCAGAAAGGUUAAGGGAUAGGCUUUUUCUUUCACAACAAUGGUGCAAGCAUUUAGGUUGCACACAUAUUUUAUAAGUUUUUUUUUUUUAAUGUAAUGUUUGUACAUGCUAUUUGUAUAAAAAAGGUACUCUUAUUGUUCAGCUAUUCCAGGUGAUCUUAGAGGUUUAGCUAUUCCACUAUCACUUCCUCCAUGGCUCUAUUGAUUUAUCUAGGCUAUCACUUCAGUCAUAGUUUUCCUUCUGUUUCUCUUUAUUUCUGUUAAAGCAUUUUUAACAUAUUAAAGAAGAAGUGAAAAUAUAUUCAAGUUGUCUGAGUGCUAAGCAAAUCAAAGUGUAUUCCAAAACAUUCAAAAGUCACCAACAAUUAUAGGGUUGUCUCUACAAAAAAAUAAAAUAAAGAGAGAGAAAACAAACAAUCCCUUUAUGGAAAAAAUGCAUGAAUGCUAAAUGACAAAAACACCAUACAAUCCAAAAUUUGAAUGACUGAACAUAAAAUAAUAUGUAAUAAAUAUUAACUUUUAACAAAAUAUUUAAAUCUUGAAUGAAGUGAGCAAUAAAUACAUUAUAGGUAAAUAGAUUUGAUACAUACCAGUAUUGGUCUACCUAAAGGUCUAUUUGUCAAAAUAUUCAUAUAAAUUCCAAGUGGUUGAUGUCUGAAACAGUGACACACGCUUGCUGUUUUACACUGGUAUGUAUCUAUGUAUUAUUCAUUUGUUUAUUGGCACUGUGUUCAAAGGAGAAAUUUUGUCAUAAGAAUAUAUUUAUUUUGAAUGUUUUCAACCAUUUAGGUAUUGGAUCCUUAUGAUUGUUUUGUGAUUUUUUUAAAAUUCAUUUGGUUAAACUUAG